RNA transcript from Nerophis ophidion (straightnose pipefish), 1594 nucleotides. It is a transcript of the gene named fibronectin type III domain containing 5b, with no coding region annotated. The record is from RefSeq and is a predicted model, not a curated record. NCBI's taxonomy places the organism in Eukaryota, Metazoa, Chordata, Actinopteri, Syngnathiformes, Syngnathidae. The transcript has 9 exons.
AGAAACCCUGACUUCCAUCUCCUCAGCCACCUCAUCCAGGUCCUGGUCCCUGACCAGCUGGGAAACCAUAGUCUCUCCUCCGUGUCCGGGGUCUUCUCCCUGGUCGGACGCGCUCUCAACACCUUCCCAGACAAAGGAGACGGCGGAAAAAAAGCGAGAGCCUCUGCGUCACUUUUACGCUCCACCGUAACUCCGCCUCCUUUCUCCUCCUCGCCACCUUCACCCUCCCCCUCCUCCUCCUCCUCCUCCUCCUCUCCGGUGCACCUUGUUACUCUUCCGCUGCGGCGAGUCCGCCACAAACACGCCGAGCUCGGGACGAUGCGUGCCUCCCGCGGGGGUCGCGCUACACGGGCCACGCGGCGUGCGGAGCUGCGCUAGGAGGCGGCGGGCGAGGAGGCGAGGAAGGAGGCGAGGUAGGAGGAGGUGGAGAGGAUGCGUCCUUCUCGGCGGAUGUUUGUCAUCCUGACGGGCUUCUUCUCCCUGGCCACCGUUAGGGCUGACGCUGUACUGUCGCCUCCUCUCAAUGUGAGCGUCAAGGAGAUCGAGGUCAACUCGGCGGUGGUCACAUGGGACACCCUGGAAGGAGACCCCGUCAUCGGCUUCGCCAUCACCCAACAGAAGAAGGAGGUGCGUACGCGGAGGUUGAUCCAGGAAGUGAACACCACCUCUCGCUCCUGUGCUCUGUGGGGUCUGGACCAGGACACCCAGUACAUGGUCCAGGUGCAGAGUCUCAGCAUGGGGGGCAGCAGUCCGCCCAGUGAGCCGGUCCUCUUCAGAACCCCCAAAGAGUCCGAGAAGCUGGCGUCCAAGAAUCCAGACGAGGUCACGAUGGAGGAAGUGGGUCAGGCGGCGCAGCUGCGAGCCGGCGAGGGCAUCAUCAUCGCCGUGGUCCUGGUCAUGUGGGCAGGCGUGAUCGCGCUCUUCUGCCGCCAGUAUGACAUCAUCAAGGACAACGAGCCCAACAACAACAAAGACAAGGCCAAGAACUCCUCGGAGUGCAGUACUCCCGAGCACCCGCAGGGGGGGCUCCUCCGCAGCAACCUGUAGGACAGGUUGGAGAAGGUUAGCCUGUACGGAGCGGAGGUGUCGUGUGGAGGAUUUGGGGGCGGUGGCACUUUGUCAAUCCGUCUGCACGCUGGCAUCCAAGCGCGAGGAGACUCUUCAAUAAUGCAGACGGUGAAGUCAGCUGUUGGAUGGAAAGAAUCUGCUGAUGUUGUGAAGAAGAAGAAAAAGAAAACCUGUAUGAAGGUUUGCUCUGCAUCACAAACUGAAGACAAUCACCACGUCACCGUUUGAGGGUCAAGCUGCUGCAACACUGCCCCCUGCUGUUUGGAGACACAAUCCACUUUCUAGCACGAAAUACUUACAUUAGUCAAUGUAAUUGUGGGAUUUAAACAUGAGGUCAAGAUAAAGUAUUGGGUUGGCAGUUAAGUCUGUAUAAUGAGGCUGGAAUUAAUGACUAAAAUAGUCAUAUUUAAUCAUGUGAAUGCAGUGUAACAGAUAUUUGAUAAAGGUGUACCUUGUUUUUUUAACUCGUUUCCCCCCAAAAUGUGCUAAAAGUUAUGUUCAUUUUCCUAAUGAUGUUGACUUUAUU